Molecule: transfer RNA, 72 nt
Filed under: Fusarium mangiferae
Lineage: Eukaryota; Fungi; Ascomycota; Sordariomycetes; Hypocreales; Nectriaceae
Also listed under: 3 other names
Rfam family: tRNA
About the family: Transfer RNA (tRNA) molecules are approximately 80 nucleotides in length. Their secondary structure includes four short double-helical elements and three loops (D, anti-codon, and T loops).
Source: RNAcentral
GGGGAUAUGGUGUAGGGGAAUCACGUUCGCUUUGCAUGCGAAAGGUCGGGGGUUCAAAUCCCUCUGUCUCCA